Molecule: ribosomal RNA, 99 nt
Filed under: uncultured bacterium
Lineage: Bacteria
Description: partial 16S ribosomal RNA
Rfam family: Bacterial small subunit ribosomal RNA
Source: RNAcentral
UGGGGAAUAUUGGACAAUGGGCGAAAGCCUGAUCCAGCAAUGCCGCGUGAGUGAUGAAGGCCUUAGGGUUGUAAAGCUCUUUUACCAGGGAUGAUAAUG